RNAcentral lists this ribosomal RNA (433 nucleotides) under uncultured bacterium. RNAcentral's name for it is "partial 16S ribosomal RNA". It matches the Rfam family "Bacterial small subunit ribosomal RNA", at positions 29 to 507 of the family's 1533-position model. The record is from RNAcentral.
AACGAACGCUGGCGGCAUGCCUAACACAUGCAAGUCGAACGAGACCUUCGGGUCUAGUGGCGCACGGGUGCGUAACGCGUGGGAACCUGCCCUUAGGUUCGGAAUAACUCCCCGAAAGGGGUGCUAAUACCGGAUAAUGUCUUCGGACCAAAGAUUUAUCGCCUUUGGUUGGGCCCGCGUUGGAUUAGCUAGUUGGUAGGGUAAAGGCCUACCAAGGCGACGAUCCAUAGCUGGUCUGAGAGGAUGACCAGCCACACUGGGACUGUGACACGGCCCAGACUCCUACGGAAGGCGGCAGUGGGGAAUAUUGGACAAUGGGCGAAAGCCUGAUCCAGCAAUGCCGCGUAAGUGAUGAAGGCCUGAGGGUUGUAAAGCUCUUUUACCCGGGAUGAUAAUGACAGUACCGGGAGAAUAAGCUACGGCUAACUCCGUG